AACGAACGCUGGCGGCAGGCUUAACACAUGCAAGUCAAACGGGUGCAGCAAUGCAUCAGUGGCAGACGGGUGAGUAACACGUGGGAACCUUCCUAGGGGUACGGAACAACUCAGGGAAACUUGAGCUAAUACCGUAUACGUCCGUGAGGAGAAAGAUUUAUCGCCCUUAGACGGGCCCGCGUCGGAUUAGCUAGUUGGUGGGGUAACGGCCUACCAAGGCGACGAUCCGUAGCUGAUCUUAGAGGAUGAUCAGCCACACUGGGACUGAGACACGGCCCAGACUCCUACGGGAGGCAGCAGUGGGGAAUCUUGGACAAUGGGCGCAAGCCUGAUCCAGCCAUGCCGCGUGAGUGAAGAAGGUCUUCGGAUUGUAAAGCUCUUUUGCCAGGGACGAUAAUGACGGUACCUGGAAAAUAAGCCCCGGCAAACUUCGUGCCAGCCGCCGCAGUAA
Molecule: ribosomal RNA, 451 nt
Filed under: uncultured bacterium
Lineage: Bacteria
Description: partial 16S ribosomal RNA
Rfam family: Bacterial small subunit ribosomal RNA
Source: RNAcentral